UACGUAGGGUGCAAGCGUUGUCCGGAAUUAUUGGGCGUAAAGAGCUCGUAGGCGGUUUGUUGCGUCGGCUGUGAAAUCCCGAGGCUCAACCUCGGGUCUGCAGUCGAUACGAGCAAACUAGAGUGUUGCAGGGGAGACUGGAAUUCCUGGUGUAGCGGUGAAAUGCGCAGAUAUCAGGAGGAACACCGGUGGCGAAGGCGGGUCUCUGGGCAAACAACUGACGCUGGAGGAGCGAAAGCGUGGGGAGCGAACAGG
This 255-nucleotide ribosomal RNA is filed under the name uncultured bacterium. RNAcentral's name for it is "partial 16S ribosomal RNA". It matches the Rfam family "Bacterial small subunit ribosomal RNA", at positions 524 to 776 of the family's 1533-position model. The record is from RNAcentral.